GACGAACGCUGGCGGCGUGCUUAACACAUGCAAGUCGAACGGAAAGGCCCUGCUUUUGUGGUGUGCUCGAGUGGCGAACGGGUGAGUAACACGUGAGUAACCUGCCCUUGACUUUGGGAUAACUUCAGGAAACUGGGGCUAAUACCGGAUAGGAGCUCCUGCUGCAUGGUGGGGGUUGGAAAGUUUCGGCGGGUGGGGAUGGACUCGCGGCUUAUCAGCUUGUUGGUUGGGUAGUGGCUUACCAAGGCUUUGACGGGUAGCCGGCCUGGGAGGGUGACCGGCCACAUUGGGACUGAGAUACGGCCCAGACUCCUACGGGAGGCAGCAGUGGGGAAUAUUGCACAAUGGGCGGAAGCCUGAUGCAGCAACGCCGCGUGCGGGAUGACGGCCUUCGGGUUGUAAACCGCUUUCGCCUGUGACGACGCGUGAGUGACGGUAAUGGGUAAAGAAGCACCGGCUAACUACGUG
RNAcentral lists this ribosomal RNA (468 nucleotides) under uncultured bacterium. Its description in RNAcentral is "partial 16S ribosomal RNA". It matches the Rfam family "Bacterial small subunit ribosomal RNA", at positions 28 to 507 of the family's 1533-position model. The record is from RNAcentral.